GACGCUGUAGCUCAGUGGUAGAGCACUAAUAUAUCCUGUCCGAACCUUGUCCGGAUUUCCGGGCCGAUGGCUCAGGGUUACCGACUGUUAAUCGAGAGGUCGUGGGUUCGAGUCCCACCAGCGUCC
This 126-nucleotide transfer RNA is filed under the name Armatimonadota bacterium. RNAcentral describes it as "tRNA-Asn". It matches the Rfam family "tRNA". From Rfam's summary of the family: Transfer RNA (tRNA) molecules are approximately 80 nucleotides in length. The record is from RNAcentral. Lineage: Bacteria; Bacillati; Armatimonadota.